Non-coding RNA from Pimephales promelas (fathead minnow), 225 nucleotides. The record is from RefSeq and is a predicted model, not a curated record. NCBI's taxonomy places the organism in Eukaryota, Metazoa, Chordata, Actinopteri, Cypriniformes, Leuciscidae.
GAAGAGCUGACACAAACACAGAGUUUAUUGAAGGACACUGAGAAUAUGAGAUCCAGAACACUGCAGAAUGAAACAUACUGAAGAACAAAGAGCGGCAAAAUUCUAAUCUGAAAAAUGAAGCCUACCCGGAAGUGGGAAAAACUGCAAUACAUCGAAAAUCCGCUAGAGGUCGGUCCCAAAAGGGGGUUCUGAGUGCCUGACAACUGUGAGCUGAUAACGGGCUGC